CGGCAGCUCCGACAACUGACAGUUGGAUAUAGGCAUUGCUAGAAUGAAAAGAAGGAGACAGAGCGAGAGAGAGAGAGAGAGAGAGAGAGGCCCGAGAGCGCGCACCCUACGCUGUGGUUUAUGUUUACAUUCCGAUAACGCUGCUCAUGCGUUUGAAGUUGAAGUUUUCUUCACAUCAAUAUGGGCAUGGCUGUAAGCAGUGCGUUUCCAUCUCCGGCUACGAGUACGAAGAGUGUUUGGCCGUGGCAGCUUAAAAUUAACAUUCCCACACGCAGUCUAAGUACAUCCAACCGAACGGGGUAUAAGUCUUCCCGCGUGUCUGGUUGACUACUGAUCAGAUACGAAGCGCCACACUAAACGACUCAUAAACGCAGUCAACACUAGUGGUGUUCUUUCAGAAGCGCACCCACCACUUCCAUCUAAGUCCGUCUAUUGUUAGUACGAUUCCGACUCCGGCAAAAUGCAUACAACUAGUUCCGUCAGUUCCGACUUCGGACGACUCCGAACCCAACCGAUUCCGGUCGACUCCGGAAGACUCCGGCCGACUCUGGACGACUCCGAGCAGCUCCGGACAACUCUGAACAACUCCGGACAACUCCGAACAACUCCGGAUGAUUCCGAACGACUCCAGAUAAUGAUGAACGAACCUUCCGGAGCCGGUUUCAAAAUUACAGGAGUGAGAUCGGAGUCGUCUCCGGAUUUUAAUCACUCCAAUUCUCAGUCUAAAGGGAAUCAUAAGAACCACCAGAGAGCUGAGAGACCUUAGUUUAAUCUGACAGUAAACGACUGGAAAUUUGUUCAGAUAACAUAAAAACAUUUAGCGCUCUAUCUUUUGCUGGAUAGCCAACCAGUAGAGCUUUGGUGUUAUAUGUCGCUAUAACUAGAACAGCAAGUACGAUUAUUUGAAAACUAAAUUUUAAUGCUUAAAAAGAAAGAAAUGAUAACGGAAAAAUUACGCUUUUAAAUGUCAACAACAAAAACCUUCGCGCUGUAGAACUACUGUGGACGACUGAAAAAAUAAGCGUUACGAGGCGUUAUAUUUCAUCUACCAAAUAUUUCGUUGCAGCGGAUUUUUGUUUUCAGUACGUCUGAUCUCGGUCUAAAAGACUUUUGUAAUAAAUGGUUUUGACUAAUUUUAUCAAAAUU
Molecule: long non-coding RNA, 1146 nt
Organism: Anopheles coluzzii
Lineage: Eukaryota; Metazoa; Arthropoda; Insecta; Diptera; Culicidae
Exons: 2
Source: RefSeq, a predicted model, not a curated record